GACGAACCGAGCGAACGUUGUUCGGAAUCACUGGGCUUAAAGGGCGCGUAGGCGGGUGCUCAAGUCCGGGGUGAAAUCCUCCAGCUCAACUGGAGAACUGCCUCGGAUACUGGGUGCCUCGAGGGUGGUAGGGGUAUGCGGAACUAUCGGUGGAGCGGUGAAAUGCGUUGAUAUCGAUAGGAACUCCGGUGGCGAAGGCGGCUCACUGGUCCGGUACUGACGCUGAGGUGCGAAAGCGUGGGGAGCAAACAGG
RNAcentral lists this ribosomal RNA (253 nucleotides) under uncultured bacterium. RNAcentral's name for it is "partial 16S ribosomal RNA". It matches the Rfam family "Bacterial small subunit ribosomal RNA", at positions 524 to 776 of the family's 1533-position model. The record is from RNAcentral.